Molecule: ribosomal RNA, 552 nt
Filed under: Rhodotorula sp. GU37
Lineage: Eukaryota; Fungi; Basidiomycota; Microbotryomycetes; Sporidiobolales; Sporidiobolaceae
Description: eukaryotic LSU rRNA
Rfam family: Eukaryotic large subunit ribosomal RNA
Source: RNAcentral
AGCGGAGGAAAAGAAACUAACAAGGAUUCCCCUAGUAACGGCGAGUGAAGCGGGAAGAGCUCAAAUUUGUAAUCUGGCACUUUCAGUGUCCGAGUUGUAAUCUCGAGAAGUGUUUUCCGCGCCGGACCGCAUACAAGUCUGUUGGAAUACAGCGUCAUAGUGGUGAGAACCCCGUAACUGAUGCGGAUGCCCGGUGCUUUGUGAUACACUUUCGAAGAGUCGAGUUGUUUGGGAAUGCAGCUCAAAUUGGGUGGUAAAUUCCAUCUAAAGCUAAAUAUUGGCGAGAGACCGAUAGCGAACAAGUACCGUGAGGGAAAGAUGAAAAGCACUUUGGAAAGAGAGUUAACAGUACGUGAAAUUGUUGGAAGGGAAACGCUUGAAGUCAGACUUGCUAUUUGGAAUUCAGCCGCAAGGUGUACUUUUCAAUUCGCAGGCCAGCAUCAGUUUUCGGGGGUGGAAAAGGGUAGAGAGAAGGUAGCAAUUUCGGUUGUGUUAUAGCUCUUUGCUGGAUUCAUCCUUGGGGACUGAGGAACGCAGCACGCUUUUUGCAAG